AGCAUUCGUGGUUGAGGAUAUCGAACACAAAAAAAGAUAUCAUCGAUCACGUGUGAUGA
Molecule: microRNA precursor, 59 nt
Filed under: Caenorhabditis elegans
Lineage: Eukaryota; Metazoa; Nematoda; Chromadorea; Rhabditida; Rhabditidae
Description: Cel-Mir-392-v1_pre stem-loop
Rfam family: mir-392 microRNA precursor family
Source: RNAcentral